AGUGAACGCUGGCGGUAGGCCUAACACAUGCAAGUCGAACGGCAGCACAGGAGAGCUUGCUCUCUGGGUGGCGAGUGGCGGACGGGUGAGGAAUACAUCGGAAUCUAUUCUGUCGUGGGGGAUAACGUAGGGAAACUUACGCUAAUACCGCAUACGACCUACGGGUGAAAGCAGGGGACCUUCGGGCCUUGCGCGAUUGAAUGAGCCGCUGUCGGAUUAGCUAGUUGGCGGGGUAAAGGCCCACCAAGGCGACGAUCCGUAGCUGGUCUGAGAGGAUGAUCAGCCACACUGGAACUGAGACACGGUCCAGACUCCUACGGGAGGCAGCAGUGGGGAAUAUUGGACAAUGGGCGCAAGCCUGAUCCAGCCAUACCGCGUGGGUGAAGAAGGCCUUCGGGUUGUAAAGCCCUUUUGUUGGGAAAGAAAUCCAGCUGGCUAAUAUCCAGUUGGGAUGACGGUACCCAAAGAAUAAGCACCGGCUAACUUCGUGCCAGCCGCCGCUGUAA
RNAcentral lists this ribosomal RNA (506 nucleotides) under uncultured bacterium. Its description in RNAcentral is "partial 16S ribosomal RNA". It matches the Rfam family "Bacterial small subunit ribosomal RNA", at positions 29 to 523 of the family's 1533-position model. The record is from RNAcentral.